GCCAACGGCCAUACCAUGAUGAUUGCACCGGUUCUCGUCCGAUCACCGAAGUUAAGUUAAGCAUCAUUGGGCCCGGUUAGUACUUGGAUGGGUGACCGCCUGGGAAACCCGGGUGCUGUUGGCU
Schistocerca piceifrons (Central American locust) is the source of this 124-nucleotide ribosomal RNA. NCBI's taxonomy places the organism in Eukaryota, Metazoa, Arthropoda, Insecta, Orthoptera, Acrididae. The record is from RefSeq and is a predicted model, not a curated record.